CCUGGCUCACGACGAACGCUGGCGGCGCGCCUAACACAUGCAAGUCGAACGGAGUUGUGUUGAAAGCUUGCUGGAUAUACAACUUAGUGGCGGACGGGUGAGUAACACGUGAGUAACCUGCCUCUCAGAGUGGAAUAACGUUUGGAAACGAACGCUAAUACCGCAUAACGUGAGAAGAGGGCAUCCUCUUUUUACCAAAGAUUUAUCGCUGAGAGAUGGGCUCGCGGCCGAUUAGGUAGUUGGUGAGAUAACAGCCCACCAAGCCGACGAUCGGUAGCCGGACUGAGAGGUUGAUCGGCCACAUUGGGACUGAGACACGGCCCAGACUCCUACGGGAGGCAGCAGUGGGGGAUAUUGCACAAUGGGGGAAACCCUGAUGCAGCGACGCCGCGUGAGGGAAGACGGUUUUCGGAUUGUAAACCUCUGUCUUUAGGGACGAAAAAAUGACGGUACCUAAGGAGGAAGCCACGGCUAACUACGUGCCAGCAGCCGCGGUAAUACGUAGGUGGCAAGCGUUGUCCGGAAUUACUGGGUGUAAAGGGAGCGUAGGCGGGGAGACAAGUUGAAUGUCUAAACUAUCGGCUUAACUGAUAGUCGCGUUCAAAACUAUCACUCUUGAGUGCAGUAGAGGUAGGCGGAAUUCCUAGUGUAGCGGUGAAAUGCGUAGAUAUUAGGAGGAACACCAGUGGCGAAGGCGGCCUACUGGGCUGUAACUGACGCUGAGGCUCGAAAGCGUGGGUAGCAAACAGGAUUAGAUACCCUGGUAGUCCACGCCGUAAACGAUGAUUACUAGGUGUGGGGGGACUGACCCCUUCCGUGCCGGAGUUAACACAAUAAGUAAUCCACCUGGGGAGUACGACCGCAAGGUUGAAACUCAAAGGAAUUGACGGGGGCCCGCACAAGCAGUGGAGUAUGUGGUUUAAUUCGAAGCAACGCGAAGAACCUUACCAGGUCUUGACAUCGAGCGACGAACUUAGAGAUAAGUUCUUCCUUCGGGACGCGAAGACAGGUGGUGCAUGGUUGUCGUCAGCUCGUGUCGUGAGAUGUUGGGUUAAGUCCCGCAACGAGCGCAACCCUUAUCAUUAGUUGUACGCAAGAGCACUCUAAUGAGACUGCCGUUGAUAAAACGGAGGAAGGUGGGGAUGACGUCAAAUCAUCAUGCCCCUUAUGACCUGGGCUACACACGUACUACAAUGGUGAUCAAACAGAGGGAAGCAACACAGCGAUGUGAAGCAAAUCCCGAAAAAUCAUCUCAGUUCAGAUUGCAGGCUGCAACUCGCCUGCAUGAAGUCGGAAUUGCUAGUAAUCGCGGAUCAGCAUGCCGCGGUGAAUACGUUCCCGGGCCUUGUACACAC
RNAcentral lists this ribosomal RNA (1355 nucleotides) under uncultured bacterium. RNAcentral's name for it is "bacterial SSU rRNA". It matches the Rfam family "Bacterial small subunit ribosomal RNA", at positions 18 to 1390 of the family's 1533-position model. The record is from RNAcentral.